RNAcentral lists this ribosomal RNA (253 nucleotides) under uncultured bacterium. RNAcentral's name for it is "partial 16S ribosomal RNA". It matches the Rfam family "Bacterial small subunit ribosomal RNA", at positions 524 to 776 of the family's 1533-position model. The record is from RNAcentral.
UACAGAGGGGGCAAGCGUUAUCCGGAAUUAUUGGGCGUAAAGAGCUCGUAGGCGGUUUGUCGCGUCUGCCGUGAAAGUCCGGGGCUCAACUCCGGAUCUGCGGUGGGUACGGGCAGACUAGAGUGAUGUAGGGGAGACUGGAAUUCCUGGUGUAGCGGUGAAAUGCGCAGAUAUCAGGAAGAACACCCGUGGCGAAGGCGGCUCUCUGGGACGGUACUGACGCUGAGACGCGAAAGCGUGGGGAGCGAACAGG